UAGGAAAUGGUGUAGUGGAGGCACUAAGGGUUUUGAUCCCUUCAGUAGAGGCUCGAAUCCUCUUUUUCUAA
RNAcentral lists this transfer RNA (71 nucleotides) under Raddaella batesii. RNAcentral's name for it is "tRNA-Gln". It matches the Rfam family "tRNA". Rfam says of the family: Transfer RNA (tRNA) molecules are approximately 80 nucleotides in length. Their secondary structure includes four short double-helical elements and three loops (D, anti-codon, and T loops). The record is from RNAcentral. Lineage: Eukaryota; Metazoa; Chordata; Actinopteri; Cyprinodontiformes; Nothobranchiidae.